GCACAAGCGGUGGAGCAUGUGGUUAAUUCGACGCAACGCGAAGAACCUUACCAGGGCUUGACAUCCCCUGACCGCGUAUGAAAGUACGUUUUCACCCUCGGGUGACAGGGAGACAGGUGGUGCAUGGUUGUCGUCAGCUCGUGUCGUGAGAUGUUGGGUUAAGUCCCGCAACGAGCGCAACCCCUACGUUUAGUUGCUAACGCGUGAAGGCGAGCACUCUAGACGAACUGCCGUUGACAAAACGGAGGAAGUGGGAUGACGUCAAAUCAUCAUGCCCCUUAUGUUCUGGGCUACACACGUGCUACAAUGGCCGGUACAGACGGACGCAAAGCCGCGAGGUGGAGCAAAUCCUAAAAAGCCGGUCUCAGUUCGGAUUGCAGGCUGCAAUUCGCCUGCAUGAAGUCGGAAUCGCUAGUAAUCGCAGGUCAGCAUACUGCGGUGAAUACGUUCCCGGGCCUU
RNAcentral lists this ribosomal RNA (459 nucleotides) under uncultured Pelotomaculum sp. Its description in RNAcentral is "bacterial SSU rRNA". It matches the Rfam family "Bacterial small subunit ribosomal RNA", at positions 923 to 1382 of the family's 1533-position model. Lineage: Bacteria; Bacillati; Bacillota; Clostridia; Eubacteriales; Desulfotomaculaceae. The record is from RNAcentral.